UGAGCUGCAGUUUGCUGACCACUGGUCUAGGGCGAUUGCAGACGUCCUACAGGAUGGACAGACAUCCAGCAUGCUGAGAGUGAAGGGAGGCAUUUCUCUAUAAGGUCGUCAGCUGUAAUAUAAGGUAUUUAUGCAAUCCAAUAGCAAAGGCAUUAUGGCCUUGAAAUGUGGUUCAGUGUUCACUCACAUCAUUGUUUAAACUCUUUUCAAGCAGAGAAAAUGUUGUAUGUUCUGGAGGCUAUUUGUUAAUACAGCAAAUGGAGCAGGGGGAGUCUAUAUUCACAAAACAUAAUGAUUCCACUUCUGCCUUUUCCCAGUGGACUUAAUUGUGCAGCGCGGAAUCGGUCAAUCAGGAAUUACCAGUUGUGAGAACAUGUACAGAUGGAACUAGGCUGUUGUCCGCACUAAUUUUUGCUGGAAUGUACUAGCCCCUUCCUAUUCAACAUGUGGCUCCCAGGCCAGUAGCAUCAGCCCCUCAAGAACUUAUUAGCCACAUGGAGGCCCAGGCCCUACCUCACUUAGAGACUCAAAUCUAUAUGGUCGCCAGGCCCCCACGGACUCACGCACACAGGAGUUUGGAAAGCUUCUCUCUAGGCAGUGCAUUCAGAGUAACCUCAGAAGCUGCGGGGCAGUGAGGGUCCCCUGUCCAGGUGGCCUCUAGAUCUGUCCUUCGGUUCAUCAUUGUGCACCAAGCUUCCUUUCAGCCGCUUCAUCCCUGAUCUAUUAAAAUAUCUGUCCACAGAGGAAGUGCCACUGACAUUCCGAGAGCAAAAUAAAACUCUUGUAAGUAA
Molecule: long non-coding RNA, 791 nt
Organism: Pipistrellus kuhlii (Kuhl's pipistrelle)
Lineage: Eukaryota; Metazoa; Chordata; Mammalia; Chiroptera; Vespertilionidae
Exons: 2
Source: RefSeq, a predicted model, not a curated record